This 453-nucleotide ribosomal RNA is filed under the name uncultured bacterium. Its description in RNAcentral is "SSU rRNA". It matches the Rfam family "Bacterial small subunit ribosomal RNA", at positions 26 to 518 of the family's 1533-position model. The record is from RNAcentral.
AGGAUAAACGCUGGCGGCGUGCCUAACACAUGCAAGUCGAACGUCCUACGCAAGUAGGGAGUGGCGGACGGGUGAGUAACACGUGGGCAAUCUACCUUUCGGUGAGGAAUACCGGCGAGAAAUCGCCGACAAUACCGCAUACGCUUCGCAAGAAGCAAAGUCGCAAGACGCCGGAGGAGGAGCCUGCGCCCGAUUAGCUCGUUGGUGGAGUAAUGGUCUACCAAGGCGACGAUCGGUAGCUGGUCUGAGAGGAUGAUCAGCCACACUGGGAUUGAGAACGGCCCAGACUCCUACGGGGGGCAGCAGUGAGGAAUUUUCCGCAAUGCACGCAAGUGUGACGGAGCGACGCCGCGUGUGGGACGAAGUCCUUCGGGGUGUAAACCACUGUCGAGGGGUAAGAAAGUUCUGAUCUACCCCAGAGGAAGGCACGGCUAACUCUGUGCCAGCAGCCGC